Molecule: long non-coding RNA, 1809 nt
Organism: Quercus robur (English oak)
Lineage: Eukaryota; Viridiplantae; Streptophyta; Magnoliopsida; Fagales; Fagaceae
Exons: 11
Source: RefSeq, a predicted model, not a curated record
GGGAGUUAUUUAUAUGAUCAAAUCAUUUUUAUUAAAAGCUUAGCUCUAUUUUCACAUACUGGUAACACUACUGUUGGUAAUGGAUUGUUCUCUCUUUUUCCACAAUUAGAGAUUUUGUGAAUGAUGAUGCUGCAAUAGGAAAGGGAAAUAAAGGCUCUUUUAUUGAUGUUUGGAAUGGUUUUAGCUCUAUCUCUUCUGCUUGAUCUCUUCUCUCUCAGCUCAGAUCCUUAUCACCACCCUUUCCGCAUUCUCCAGAUUUUAUGUGUUUUUUGGUGGUGCAUAUUAAUUAAAUAAAUGGUGGAAGAGCUCAACAUUAAGACGAUGAUCUUCACACCGUCGCAAGAAUAUCCAGACCUUGCUAAUUGUUUCUGUUGCAGCUGACAAAUAUGUUUUAAGAGGAGAUCGAACUUACAAAGGGGCUUCUAUUAUCUUUGAGGAGGCAUGAUCUUUAAGUUGCAAUUGCGGGAAUAUUGAAGGCAAUUAAUGACAUUCCAGUUCUACUCAAGCCAUACUCAGCUUCAAAAUUUGAUGGUCAUAUACUCAUAUAUACCAGUCUUGUGAUGCAAAACUUAAACUUUGAUUUGAUAUUGAAGCUGUUUCGUAUUGUAUAUUAUCCUUUUCAUAGUUUAGGUUUUUGACAUGUCAUUUGGAUUUGGCACUGCCGAGAGGGCUAAACAAGCUAUUCAUCAGCUCAUGUUAAAUCAGAAAGCAUUGAGAAUGGUAUCAGUGUGGUCUAAGUUAACGGGCCACUACAAUGGUUCAUCUGUUCUUUACUUCUAUCUAAACAAACCUUAGGCAUCCUUAAGUGAUCACCAUUGGUCAAUCCAGGUUGCUAACUGGGGCACAGCCAUCUGAGUCAUGUUUUUAAUUUGAAAUCAUUGGGAAAAGACUGAAAGAAAAUGGGCACAUGGUUAUGUUAAUAGUUGAAGGUACUUCUUUCUGAAAGCAUGCAUACAAAAGACCAGCAGGAUGCUACUCCAGCAUGUGAGUACGUGUAUAUCUCAGAAGAUGAAGGAUGAGAUUGAACUCGGAAAGGGGCCUCUGUGAUUUUUUAGUAAAUGAGGAGCCAUGGUCUUUAAGUUGCAAUUUCAGGAACAUCGAAUGAUGAGGACAUGCCAGUACUGUUCACGCCAUACUCGACUUCUGAAAUUUGAUGAAGGCUCAACAAGAUAUUCAUGCAGCCCAUAUUAACUCAAAAGGCAUUGAGAAUGGUAUCAGUCGUCGAGUUAAUGGGCCACUUCAGUGGGAAAACGUUGGGCUUCUGAUCCCCUACUCCUUUGCAAAUCUGCCUCCAACAAUGCGUGUGCAAAAAUCCACUCAAACUUCAUGGAAGGUUGAUAGAAGAUGCCCUUAAAAACUGACUAUGGCAAACAGAAUUGCGAGGCAGCAAUACCAGAUGCUUGGAUGCGGCGAAUCAAAGAUCAGUUCAUCAAGGCUUAUUUAUUUCUCCCUGCCAAAAGAAACAAUACCCACAUAUAUAGAAAGUUUGGCAAGAACUUGGGGAUAUAAGCAAAGAUCCUAAACAGCCAAUGAAUUUGAACCUAAUGGAGAAGCACAGUUUUAUAUUGGUGAAAAUUGUUGAGCAAGGAUGCACUUUAGAUAGCCACGUCUUACAUUCUGGUGCAAGAUAUAUUUGGUAACCUUCAUUGGCUGCAAAGCUUGAUCAGUUAGAAUAACAAAGCUCCCUUCCUCUCUGCCCAUUAUAUCCUAAAUCUGUUCUAUAAAAUAAUCCUAUCAAUUGAACUUCAUUAUUUGUAUUCUUGAAUUGAAUGUGAAUGGUAAACAGUUUUGAAAUUGGAACUAUUUCCU